CCAGACUCCUACGGGAGGCAGCAGUGGGGAAUAUUGCGCAAUGGGCGCAAGCCUGAUGCAGCGACGCCGCGUGGGGGAUGACGGCCUUCGGGUUGUAAACUCCUUUCGCUAGGGACGAAGCUUUUUGUGACGGUACCUAGAUAAGAAGCACCGGCUAACUACGUGCCAGCAGCCGCGGUAAUACGUAGGGUGCGAGCGUUGUCCGGAAUUACUGGGCGUAAAGGGCUCGUAGGUGGUUUGUCGCGUCGUCUGUGAAAUUCCGGGGCUUAACUCCGGGCGUGCAGGCGAUACGGGCAUAACUUGAGUACUGUAGGGGUAACUGGAAUUCCUGGUGUAGCGGUGAAAUGCGCAGAUAUCAGGAGGAACACCGAUGGCGAAGGCAGGUUACUGGGCAGUUACUGACGCUGAGGAGCGAAAGCAUGGGUAGCGAACAGGAUUAGAUACCCUGGUAGUCCAUGCCGUAAACGGUGGGCGCUAGGUGUGAGGGUCUUUUCACGACUUUCGUGCCGUAGCUAACGCAUUAAGCGCCCCGCCUGGGGAGUACGGCCGCAAGGCUAAAACUCAAAGGAAUUGACGGGGGCCCGCACAAG
Molecule: ribosomal RNA, 590 nt
Filed under: uncultured bacterium
Lineage: Bacteria
Description: bacterial SSU rRNA
Rfam family: Bacterial small subunit ribosomal RNA
Source: RNAcentral